UGGGGUUUCACCGUGUUAGCCAGGAUGAUCCCGAUCUCCUGACCUUGUGAUCUGCCCUCCUCGGCCUCCCAAAGUGCUGGGACUACAGGCGUGAGCCACCGUGCCCGGCAUAUUAUUUUAGUCAUAGGUAAAACAAGUGAGGUUGAUGGAGACAGAGAUAGCCGUGUAGCUACAAAAUGAUACAGCUACAGCUACAUUUGAGCUCUGAUUGCCUCAUUCCAAAGCCUACGCUUAUGGACUUUCUUGCCUUCUGCUACACACCACUGCUCAUGUGCUACGUUGGUGCAUGGAGCCCCAGUGUGAGUGAAAUAUAAAGUAGUGGUGUACACGUAGGGGCUGGGAAAUGGUGGACACAGGAGAUGAAGAGACAGCCUGAUACGAGUUUAUGUUGGUGCAUUGGAAGCAGAUUGUAAAGUUCCUUACUCUCCUGCUGAGGAAUGUAAACUUUAUUAGUAGGCAAGAUUACAAAAUCUUUACAAAAUACAUACUACUCUUUGAAUAGAAGAGUAAAGAGAGAGAGGACAGAGCUUAAGCAGGCUAAAGAAAGCCAGAGGCUCAAACGAGGAUCAAAGGUAAGUACUGUGCUGCAACUGUGUAAAAAAUGUAACUUAGUAUGUGGGACAAUUUUUAAAAAUCCAACUACUUAAAAAUGUCCUAGAGUUUACUUUAAAAUACCCACAGAACGGUGAAACCCCGUCUCUACCAAUACAAAAAAUUAGCCAGGCGUGGUGGCGGGCGCAUGUAGUCCCAGCUA
RNAcentral lists this long non-coding RNA (754 nucleotides) under Homo sapiens (human). Its description in RNAcentral is "HSALNT0271323". The record is from RNAcentral. Lineage: Eukaryota; Metazoa; Chordata; Mammalia; Primates; Hominidae.